Molecule: ribosomal RNA, 2901 nt
Filed under: Klebsiella quasipneumoniae
Lineage: Bacteria; Pseudomonadati; Pseudomonadota; Gammaproteobacteria; Enterobacterales; Enterobacteriaceae
Description: 23S ribosomal RNA
Rfam family: Bacterial large subunit ribosomal RNA
Source: RNAcentral
UUAAGCGACUAAGCGUACACGGUGGAUGCCCUGGCAGUCAGAGGCGAUGAAGGACGUGCUAAUCUGCGAAAAGCGUCGGUAAGGUGAUAUGAACCGUUACAGCCGGCGAUGUCCGAAUGGGGAAACCCAGUGUGAUUCGUCACACUAUCGUUAACUGAAUACAUAAGUUAACGAGGCGAACCGGGGGAACUGAAACAUCUAAGUACCCCGAGGAAAAGAAAUCAACCGAGAUUCCCCCAGUAGCGGCGAGCGAACGGGGAGCAGCCCAGAGUCUGAAUCAGCUUGUGUGUUAGUGGAACGGUCUGGAAAGUCCGACGGUACAGGGUGAUAGUCCCGUACACCAAAAUGCACAGGCUGUGAACUCGAAGAGUAGGGCGGGACACGUGGUAUCCUGUCUGAAUAUGGGGGGACCAUCCUCCAAGGCUAAAUACUCCUGACUGACCGAUAGUGAACCAGUACCGUGAGGGAAAGGCGAAAAGAACCCCGGCGAGGGGAGUGAAAAAGAACCUGAAACCGUGUACGUACAAGCAGUGGGAGCACCUUCGGGUGUGACUGCGUACCUUUUGUAUAAUGGGUCAGCGACUUAUAUUCUGUAGCAAGGUUAACCGUAUAGGGGAGCCGCAGGGAAACCGAGUCUUAACUGGGCGUUAAGUUGCAGGGUAUAGACCCGAAACCCGGUGAUCUAGCCAUGGGCAGGUUGAAGGUUGGGUAACACUAACUGGAGGACCGAACCGACUAAUGUUGAAAAAUUAGCGGAUGACUUGUGGCUGGGGGUGAAAGGCCAAUCAAACCGGGAGAUAGCUGGUUCUCCCCGAAAGCUAUUUAGGUAGCGCCUCGUGAACUCAUCUUCGGGGGUAGAGCACUGUUUCGGCUAGGGGGUCAUCCCGACUUACCAACCCGAUGCAAACUACGAAUACCGAAGAAUGUUAUCACGGGAGACACACGGCGGGUGCUAACGUCCGUCGUGAAGAGGGAAACAACCCAGACCGCCAGCUAAGGUCCCAAAGUCAUGGUUAAGUGGGAAACGAUGUGGGAAGGCACAGACAGCCAGGAUGUUGGCUUAGAAGCAGCCAUCAUUUAAAGAAAGCGUAAUAGCUCACUGGUCGAGUCGGCCUGCGCGGAAGAUGUAACGGGGCUAAACCAUGCACCGAAGCUGCGGCAGCGACGCUUAUGUGUUGUUGGGUAGGGGAGCGUUCUGUAAGCCUGCGAAGGUGACCUGUGAGGGUUGCUGGAGGUAUCAGAAGUGCGAAUGCUGACAUAAGUAACGAUAAAGCGGGUGAAAAGCCCGCUCGCCGGAAGACCAAGGGUUCCUGUCCAACGUUAAUCGGGGCAGGGUGAGUCGACCCCUAAGGCGAGGCCGAAAGGCGUAGUCGAUGGGAAACAGGUUAAUAUUCCUGUACUUGGUGUUACUGCGAAGGGGGGACGGAGAAGGCUAUGUUAGCCGGGCGACGGUUGUCCCGGUUUAAGCAUGUAGGCUGGUUAUCCAGGCAAAUCCGGAUAAUCAAGGCUGAGGUGUGAUGACGAGGCACUACGGUGCUGAAGUAACAAAUGCCCUGCUUCCAGGAAAAGCCUCUAAGCAUCAGGUAACAUCAAAUCGUACCCCAAACCGACACAGGUGGUCAGGUAGAGAAUACCAAGGCGCUUGAGAGAACUCGGGUGAAGGAACUAGGCAAAAUGGUGCCGUAACUUCGGGAGAAGGCACGCUGGUGUGUAGGUGAAGUCCCUGCGGAUGGAGCUGAGACCAGUCGAAGAUACCAGCUGGCUGCAACUGUUUAUUAAAAACACAGCACUGUGCAAACACGAAAGUGGACGUAUACGGUGUGACGCCUGCCCGGUGCCGGAAGGUUAAUUGAUGGGGUUAUCCGUAAGGAGAAGCUCUUGAUCGAAGCCCCGGUAAACGGCGGCCGUAACUAUAACGGUCCUAAGGUAGCGAAAUUCCUUGUCGGGUAAGUUCCGACCUGCACGAAUGGCGUAAUGAUGGCCAGGCUGUCUCCACCCGAGACUCAGUGAAAUUGAACUCGCUGUGAAGAUGCAGUGUACCCGCGGCAAGACGGAAAGACCCCGUGAACCUUUACUAUAGCUUGACACUGAACAUUGAGCCUUGAUGUGUAGGAUAGGUGGGAGGCUUUGAAGCGUGGACGCCAGUCUGCGUGGAGCCAACCUUGAAAUACCACCCUUUAAUGUUUGAUGUUCUAACGUUGGCCCCUUAUCGGGGUUGCGGACAGUGUCUGGUGGGUAGUUUGACUGGGGCGGUCUCCUCCCAAAGCGUAACGGAGGAGCACGAAGGUUAGCUAAUCCUGGUCGGACAUCAGGAGGUUAGUGCAAUGGCAUAAGCUAGCUUGACUGCGAGCGUGACGGCGCGAGCAGGUGCGAAAGCAGGUCAUAGUGAUCCGGUGGUUCUGAAUGGAAGGGCCAUCGCUCAACGGAUAAAAGGUACUCCGGGGAUAACAGGCUGAUACCGCCCAAGAGUUCAUAUCGACGGCGGUGUUUGGCACCUCGAUGUCGGCUCAUCACAUCCUGGGGCUGAAGUAGGUCCCAAGGGUAUGGCUGUUCGCCAUUUAAAGUGGUACGCGAGCUGGGUUUAGAACGUCGUGAGACAGUUCGGUCCCUAUCUGCCGUGGGCGCUGGAGAAUUGAGGGGGGCUGCUCCUAGUACGAGAGGACCGGAGUGGACGCAUCACUGGUGUUCGGGUUGUCAUGCCAAUGGCACUGCCCGGUAGCUAAAUGCGGAAGAGAUAAGUGCUGAAAGCAUCUAAGCACGAAACUUGCCCCGAGAUGAGUUCUCCCUGAGACUUUAAGUCUCCUGAAGGAACGUUGAAGACGACGACGUUGAUAGGCCGGGUGUGUAAGCGCAGCGAUGCGUUGAGCUAACCGGUACUAAUGAACCGUGAGGCUUAACCUU